GAGGCGCUAGUUAAAAAUAACACCCCCUUGUCAAGGGGGAACUAUAGGUUGAACCCCUAUGCCCCUCU
RNAcentral lists this transfer RNA (68 nucleotides) under Telmatobufo australis. RNAcentral's name for it is "tRNA-Asp". Lineage: Eukaryota; Metazoa; Chordata; Amphibia; Anura; Calyptocephalellidae. The record is from RNAcentral.